UGGCGCACGGGUGCGUAACGCGUGAGCAACCUACCUCUAUCAGGGGGAUAGCCUCUCGAAAGAGAGAUUAACACCGCAUAAUAUAUCUGAUUGGCAUCAGUUGGAUAUUAAAUAUUUAUAGGAUAGAGAUGGGCUCGCGUGACAUUAGCUAGUUGGUAGGGUAACGGCUUACCAAGGCGACGAUGUCUAGGGGCUCUGAGAGGAGAAUCCCCCACACUGGUACUGAGACACGGACCAGACUCCUACGGGAGGCAGCAGUAAGGAAUAUUGGUCAAUGGGCGGAAGCCUGAACCAGCCAUGCCGCGUGCAGGAUGACUGCCCUAUGGGUUGUAAACUGCUUUUGUCCAGGAAUAAACCUAGAUACGUGUAUCUAGCUGAAUGUACUGGAAGAAUAAGGAUCGGCUAACUCCGUGCCAGCAGCCGCGGUAAUACGGAGGAUCCGAGCGUUAUCCGGAUUUAUUGGGUUUAAAGGGUGCGUAGGCGGCCUAUUAAGUCAGGGGUGAAAUACGGUGGCUCAACCAUCGCAGUGCCUUUGAUACUGAUGGGCUUGAAUCCAUUUGAAGUGGGCGGAAUAAGACAAGUAGCGGUGAAAUGCAUAGAUAUGUCUUAGAACUCCGAUUGCGAAGGCAGCUCACUAAGCUGGUAUUGACGCUGAUGCACGAAAGCGUGGGGAUCGAACAGGAUUAGAUACCCUGGUAGUCCACGCCCUAAACGAUGAUAACUCGAUGUUGGCGAUAGACAGCCAGCGUCUUAGCGAAAGCGUUAAGUUAUCCACCUGGGGAGUACGCCCGCAAGGGUGAAACUCAAGGAAUUGACGGGGGCCCGCACAAGCGGAGGAGCAUGUGGUUUAAUUCG
Molecule: ribosomal RNA, 855 nt
Filed under: uncultured bacterium
Lineage: Bacteria
Description: bacterial SSU rRNA
Rfam family: Bacterial small subunit ribosomal RNA
Source: RNAcentral